CUAAGAUAAAUAAUAUAUCUGAACAAUUAGAUCAAUUAUACCUUGAAAAAACUAAAGGAGCUCAAAUAAGGUCAAGAGCAAAAUGGAUAGAAGAAGGUGAAAAAAAUACUGCUUUUUUUCUUGAAUUUAGAAAAAUCAAGACAAAUAAAUAAAAGUAUAAUAGAAUUAUAUGACGAUAAAGGCAAUACUAUAACAGACCAAACAGAAAUUUUAAAAGAGGAAGUAAAAUAUUAUGAAAAACUAUAUAAAUCAUCAAAUCCAGAUAAAUUACAUACUAAAGAGUAUAUUCAAAAUACUAAAAUAGAAAAAAAAUUCUCAGAUAAAGACAGUAAUAGCUUAGAAGGGCUUGUGACAUCAGAAGAAAUUACAGAAGCAGUGUUUAAAAUGAAACUUAAUAAAGCACCAGGUUUAGAUGGACUUAAUGUAGAAUUCUAUAGAAAAUUUUGGACCCAAAUUCAAAAGAUAUUAACCAAAGUAUAUAAUGAGUCAUAUAAAAAGAAAAGUUUAACAAAUUCGCAAAAAAAGGGGGC
This 530-nucleotide long non-coding RNA is filed under the name Mytilus galloprovincialis (Mediterranean mussel). The record is from RNAcentral. Lineage: Eukaryota; Metazoa; Mollusca; Bivalvia; Mytilida; Mytilidae.